UUAACAUAGAGAAUAGAUAAAGGAAAACCUAAUGGUGUGUUCCAAUCUUAACCUCUGUUUCUCUCUCUCGCCGUCGUGAAUCGCUCCGGGGUUUCCAGCCACCAGAAUGCUCCUGCAUCUUCGUGAGUCCUCCGUCUCCGUCUAUUCUCCAUCGUGAGUCCUCUCCUUCGAAUGCUCCUGCACCUUCGUGAAUCAUCUCCGUCAAGCGCUUCGGCAACAUCGUGAAUCAUCGUUAUCGACUGUGUCACAUCCAUUUCGCUCAUCGGGUUGUUUCACUUUCUAUUGCGCGUUUUGUUACUCGGAUUAUAGUGUAAAUACUUAUUCUUCUCCCCUACUUCACUCCAUUUUAACCCUGGGUUCUUUGUUUCAGAGUUGAUAAAUAGUAGAUUCGAUGUUGAUGGUGAUGAGGUUAUCUAGACGAAAUAGAGGACGGAAGGAAAAGAUGAUUGAAGACUUGAUCCUUACAUAAUCCAAUUGGGAGAUGACAAGAGGUUAAACCCAAAGAUUUUAAUUUUUUGGUUAAUAUAGUCAGCAUCUGCUAGGGACUCGAGAAAACAUGUUCAAGCAUCGGUUGUUCACAGAAAUGGUUCUGCUGUGCCGUCUGCGUCUUCUUCUAGUUACCGUAGCUCGUUGGAAGUUACACCAGAAAAUGAUGUAAAUCCUAGAAGUUCCUUAGGAGAGUCGAGCUGCAAGUCGAAAUCUUCGAGAGAGUUAGUCAAGGUUCUCGAUCGUAUGUGGCGUCUUGAAGAACAGCAGGCAUCAAAUAUAGCAACAGCGAAAGCGCUGAUAAAAGAACUAGAUUCUUCUCAAGCACAAGAAAAAGAGUUAGUACAUGAAAAGAAAAUGAAUAGGCAGAUAAUGGAGAGCUUAAUGAAGCAAAUAACAGAAGACAGACGUGUUAACGAAAUCAAAGACCCUCUUGUUGCUGCUUCAAUAGUUCAUGGUCAUGGCUGUACAUACAAAAUAUCGUCUUAUUACUUACUCGGCGGAGAUUGUAGAUGGACAGCCUAUUUUUGUUUCGUUGAAUUGUAGUCCGGCAAAGGCGUUGAGGAAAGAGCCAGAGGGUCAUUCUUUUCAUUCUGCUGCACUUAAACUUCUCGGUGUUAAGAAAGAAGAGAUAAAGGAUGAUGGUAAUAAGAAAGUUGUUGAUGAUAAGGAUCAGGCGUAUUUGCCGUCAGAUUCUUAUAGUAGUAAGAGUAAGAAAAAGAAAUCAGGUGAAGAGCAGGAGCAGGAUCAUUAUGCAUUGUUGGGUAUGAGUCAUCUCAGGUAUCUUGCAACGGAGGAUCAGAUUCGGAAAAGCUAUCGCGAGACUGCGUUGUGGUUUCAUCCGGAUAAACAGGCUGCUCUUCUUCUUAAUGAGAAGACUGAUUUUCUAUCUCUCUUUUUGUUCAUCCCCUGUUUAGAAUUUGUUUGAAUAGUAAUUAGUUUACAACUUCCUUCAUAGUAAACAUUUGUCAAUUAGCAAUGUUAAUUUUUGCUUGCAUUAUCUGUUAUUGUGACAAAAUGUAAGCAACCUUUUUCUUGGUCAUUCAAUGCAUAUGAAUUGUUAUUAAGAAGCCAUGGUUACCAUGUGAACCGUGAAUGGUAUACUUGGAUACAGAUCCUUAUUUCCGUUAGAUGGCAUGUGAAGCAUCCUGUGAAGUUUUAAUUCUAAAUUUAGAAGAAAAAAUGCUAUGAUUUAUUGUAUGCAAUUUUUCUUGACAUGAUCAAAUCCUAAUUAUGUAAGUUUCUCUUGUUUAUGGUAUGGUGCCUAAAUUGUAAUAAUUGUUGAUGAAUAGAACAAGUGGAUGUGUACAGAAGUUAUCAUGUUUUAAAGACAAGGAAGCUUCAAGAGGGAGUGGUAAAGUGACCAAGACGCUCAUAUUAUUGGACGAUAAAGAUCUUUCUCACAUAUUAUGGUGGAAGGAGAAGUUGCAGAUGUGCAAAAAGGCCAUCACAACAAAUCUAAUUGAAAGGCUUGAAUAUUCAAAUUUGCUUGGCUUGAAUUCUAACUUGAAAUAUGGAAGAUUGAACUUCAAUCAUUGAAGCAAUAGUUCAAGAUGGCUCUGCAAAUGGUUUUAUCUCCACCAUUGGUGUUCUCAAUCUUAAUUUAGAUUGUUUUAUCUUUUUAAUUUGGUUGGACAAAUGAUUAUUAGUAGUUUGGUGGUUGAGUCAUUUAAUGAUGUGACUAUGUAAGCAUUUGUUCCUAAUAAUUUUGUAGCAAUUUUUAUAGUAACUUGUUCUA
Molecule: long non-coding RNA, 2224 nt
Organism: Vicia villosa (hairy vetch)
Lineage: Eukaryota; Viridiplantae; Streptophyta; Magnoliopsida; Fabales; Fabaceae
Exons: 5
Source: RefSeq, a predicted model, not a curated record